GGGGGAUAACUAUUGGAAACGAUAGCUAAUACCGCAUGACACUAAAGUACACAUGUACUCAAGUUAAAAGGAGCAAUUGCUUCACUAUGAGAUGGACCUGCGUUGUAUUAGCUAGUUGGUGAGGUAAAGGCUCACCAAGGCGACGAUACAUAGCCGACCUGAGAGGGUGAUCGGCCACACUGGGACUGAGACACGGCCCAUACUCCUACGGGAGGCAGCAGUAGGGAAUCUUCGGCAAUGGACGGAAGUCUGACCGAGCAACGCCGCGUGAGUGAAGAAGGUUUUCGGAUCGUAAAGCUCUGUUGUUAGAGAAGAACGGUAAUGGGAGUGGAAAAUCCAUUACGUGACGGUAACUAACCAGAAAGGGACGGCUAACUACGUGCCAGCAGCCGCGGUAAUACGUAUGUCUCGAGCGUUGUCCGGAUUUAUUGGGCGUAAAGCGAGCGCAGGCGGUUCUAUAAGUCUGAAGUAAAAGGCAGUGGCUCAACCAUUGUAUGCUUUGGAAACUGUAGAACUUGAGUG
This 522-nucleotide ribosomal RNA is filed under the name Streptococcus iniae. Its description in RNAcentral is "bacterial SSU rRNA". It matches the Rfam family "Bacterial small subunit ribosomal RNA", at positions 138 to 648 of the family's 1533-position model. The record is from RNAcentral. Lineage: Bacteria; Bacillati; Bacillota; Bacilli; Lactobacillales; Streptococcaceae.